Molecule: ribosomal RNA, 502 nt
Filed under: uncultured bacterium
Lineage: Bacteria
Description: partial 16S ribosomal RNA
Rfam family: Bacterial small subunit ribosomal RNA
Source: RNAcentral
UGGGGAAUCUUGCGCAAUGGGCGAAAGCCUGACGCAGCCAUGCCGCGUGAGUGAUGAAGGCCUUAGGGUUGUAAAACUCUUUCACCGGGGACGAUAAUGACGGUACCCGGAGAAGAAGCCCCGGCUAACUUCGUGCCAGCAGCCGCGGUAAUACGAAGGGGGCUAGCGUUGCUCGGAAUUACUGGGCGUAAAGGGCGCGUAGGCGGAUCAGCAAGUUGGGGGUGAAAGCCCGGGGCUCAACCUCGGAAUUGCCUUCAAAACUGCUGAUCUAGAGUACGGGAGAGGUGUGUGGAACUCCGAGUGUAGAGGUGAAAAUUCGUAGAUAUUCGGAAGAACACCAGUGGCGAAGGCGACACACUGGCCCGUUACUGACGCUGAGGCGCGAAAGCGUGGGGAGCAAACAGGAUUAGAUACCCUGGUAGUCCACGCUGUAAACGAUGAUUGCUAGUUGUCGGCAGGCAUGCCUGUCGGUGACGCAGCUAACGCAUUAAGCAAUCCGCCU